CCCGGACGCCAUCUUGGAUCCUGGCGCGGUCCGGAGCUGCCCUUCCUCCCGGUGAUUGGAUGAGGCCGUUGGGCGGCCGGGAAGGGGCGUGUCCAGCCACCCCGCGCCGCUCGCUCGCUGGGUCCGGUGGUCUGGCUCCCGAAGUGUGUAGCUGUUAAUGAUGGUCUGCUCGUUCCUGGACGCCCGCGACCUCCGGAGGCACAUGAGGCUUAGUUGGAUUUACGUACCCAUUCCAAUGGAGCUUCGAAGAAGUCUCAAAACCGCUUGGGAGUUGGUUGGGGUGGGAUCUUUAGAUGCUUCUUCAAGGACGUGCUGUCGUUCUUCAGGGCGAGUGGGAUCAUAUUCUAGGAAGAGGGGGCACAACUGCACGAAGAGCUGCGAAGAGAUUAGGGGUGAAGGACGCAGAAGUGGCAGGAGGAAAAUGCGAGGAAGGUGCUGGGGUGAGAUUGUGGGGAACUUUGAAUGCCAGGCUAGGGAGUGUGGACUUUAUCCUGUAGAAUACGGGGUAAAAUGAACAUUCGGAGGCUGAACACUGGUGUAACCAACACCUAGAUGAACAAACGUCACCAAGAGCUCAGAAGCCCCUCUUCCACCCCAGCCACUGCUACCUGUACCAAGGUGGUAAGUUUUUCAGAAGAGAUCUCUAGAAAAAUAUACAAGACAUGGUUGGCACUGCUAUACAAGGAGUAUGAACAGAGGGAAGAGCAUUCCUGGCAGAAGAGUCACCCUGUGAAAAACUCAUAGACCAGGAGAGGACUUGUCCUGUUCAAGACCAAUGUAGCCGAGGCACAAUGAAGAUGGGAAAGGAGAGAUGGCUCAGGAAAUAGCACAUUGAAGUGCUGUUAAGAGAUAAAGGAACAUCAUAUAUAACAUUCUCUAAAAGGACUCAGAAAAAAAAUGAUAGAAAGAUAAAGCAAACAGAAAUGUUAACAUUUGGGGAGAGUUGCCUUGGUGGCUUAGUCAGUGAAGCAUCAGACUCUUGAUUUCCGCUCAGGUCAUGAGAUC
Canis lupus familiaris (dog) is the source of this 1005-nucleotide long non-coding RNA. RefSeq lists it as uncharacterized. The record is from RefSeq and is a predicted model, not a curated record. NCBI's taxonomy places the organism in Eukaryota, Metazoa, Chordata, Mammalia, Carnivora, Canidae. The transcript is spliced from 3 exons.